Molecule: long non-coding RNA, 404 nt
Organism: Seriola aureovittata
Lineage: Eukaryota; Metazoa; Chordata; Actinopteri; Carangiformes; Carangidae
Exons: 3
Source: RefSeq, a predicted model, not a curated record
GACAUGGGCACCCGCCCACGCGCGAGAUGUCACAGUACAGGAAGCAGGGUUCAGGUGGAAGUCACCUACUAUAAUUUAAGAAUCCACGUUUUCAUCUAAGCUAGCCGCUGACAAAGAUAGUUGUUUGAAGUUAUUAAUGGUUCCCAGUGGAGAAGCUCAAGGCUGAAUUUUUUCAACUCAGAACCGGCUUUUCUUCUACUCAAUACAGAGGAAACUGCCAUGAGCCACAGAGCCAAACCAGCCUGGACCAAGUGGUUCCCUCUUUUCAAGUCCACUGCUGCUGGAGCCCGUUUCACAUGGCACACAAGUGUGAAAUUGGCCGUUGGCUGGGUGCUGGGAAACAAUUGGAAAGCCCUGCUGGCGGCCGGUGAGCUCGACUACGACUGAGAAACUGACUGAGAGAG